GUUGGUUUUGUCUCAUUGUUGGUAUUUUUUGUUGGUUGACAUGUUUGCUUGCAGUUCUUUACAAUUUGGUUUGUUUUUUUUUUUUUUUUUUCAUUUUUUAUUUUCAAUAUUCCCUUUUGGAUCCCUAGCUAUGGGUGGCUACGUAUUUUUCUUUAUUUGUUAUUUUUUUUUUACAGGUUCUUGGUAGUUGGCUAAGAGAGGGCUCCUUUUGAAUUUAGGUGUAGAGGGAUGCUCUAAACUUGCCUCCUGAGAAGGACUCUUGUAUGUGUAAUAUUAGCAACUCGAGACUAUACCUAUACGUUUACUGGCUACCCUCAAGCAAGAGCUCUAUUGCAUCGUCUCCUCCAGUUGUGGUUUGAUAUUGUUUUGGCUUUGUUUACCUUGGAUCUCUUCUUUUCAUUUCUAUGCAUAUAGUUAUUGUUUACCUAUUUUCAUGUCUAUUUGACUGGCUUUUGAUGGUGUUGUAUUCGACUUAAUUAGUAUUGUCAGUAAUCUGCUCUCAACCUUCUCAUCGAUAGUUUGUUGCUAGUAUAGAUUGAUUGUUCAGGUAAGUUAUGGAGGUAAUGUUUGGUUAGGUAGAUAUGUAGUUGGGUCGAUGUUGACUUGUUUAGGUUUGGC
Molecule: long non-coding RNA, 618 nt
Filed under: Manihot esculenta (cassava)
Lineage: Eukaryota; Viridiplantae; Streptophyta; Magnoliopsida; Malpighiales; Euphorbiaceae
Description: long non-coding RNA (MESC_LNC001229)
Source: RNAcentral